This 253-nucleotide ribosomal RNA is filed under the name uncultured bacterium. RNAcentral's name for it is "partial 16S ribosomal RNA". It matches the Rfam family "Bacterial small subunit ribosomal RNA", at positions 524 to 776 of the family's 1533-position model. The record is from RNAcentral.
UACGUAGGGUGCAAGCGUUGUCCGGAAUUAUUGGGCGUAAAGCGCACGUAGGCGGCUUUGCAAGUCGGAUGUGAAAUCCCUCGGCUUAACCAAGGAAGUGCAUCCGAAACUGCAGAGCUUGAGUACUUAAGAGGAUCGCGGAAUUCCCGGUGUAGAGGUGAAAUUCGUAGAUAUCGGGAGGAACACCGGUGGCGAAGGCGGCGAUCUGGGAAGAUACUGACGCUGAGGUGCGAAAGCGUGGGGAGCAAACAGG